AGUGGUUAGGUGUACGUAAAAAAUAAAAAACCGGUCUCAUGCUGAAGCACAUUUGGCCUAAAUUGGAGGAAAUAUUACUGCAGACUUGCAUUGAAGAAGCGAUGACUUGCUAUUUCUUAUUGAGGGGCAUUUUUUGCACAGCUCCUGGAGGCAGGUACAGGUUCAAUAAAAAGGACCUAAAUUGGAGGAAAUAUUACUGCAGACUUGCAUUGAAGAAGCGAUGACUUGCAGUUGCUUAUUAAGGGGCGAUUUUUGCACAGCUCCUGGAGGCAGGUACAGGUUCUAUAAAAAGGAUCUGGCUUAUAUCCUGCUGGCAGCGCAUUUCACCAACAACACCGCGAAAUAAUUUGGAAAACGCAAAAGGGUCAAGCCUUACAUAUGGACAUGGUUCUUAAGCUCUUAAUCGUCAGGAUUAAAUAGAAUCCCUGGGCUAUUUCAAGUGUAUAGAAAGAUCCCCAGGACAAACCGUCAAGGCAAUAAAAAUGUUGCCCAAGGUGGUGGGAAAACCAUCUGUUCGCCAGGAUUCCGAUAGCUUCUUGAGUCUAGUCUUCGCAUAUGAGCAGAAAAGGG
Molecule: long non-coding RNA, 570 nt
Organism: Drosophila subpulchrella
Lineage: Eukaryota; Metazoa; Arthropoda; Insecta; Diptera; Drosophilidae
Exons: 4
Source: RefSeq, a predicted model, not a curated record